RNAcentral lists this unclassified non-coding RNA (320 nucleotides) under Hevea brasiliensis (rubber tree). The record is from RNAcentral. Lineage: Eukaryota; Viridiplantae; Streptophyta; Magnoliopsida; Malpighiales; Euphorbiaceae.
AUGUCAAGUAGCUAUAAUGUCAUAUUGAAGGAAAGGAAGUUGCCACUAUCCCUUUUAAAUGACCAUCAGAAGCAAGCCAGAGUACAUCUUCUUGAUACGGAGCCUUUUGAGGAUGCAUUUGGACCUAAGAGGAAGAGGAAGCGUCCAAAGCUCUUGGCAGCAGAUUAUGAGUCUUUAAUUAAGAGAGCUGAUGGUUCUCAGGACGCUUUUGAGAUGAGCCAUGGUACUAAUGCAUCUGCAGAAGGAAGUGAAGGAGAUGGAUUUAGGGAACUGGUUCGGCAUACAAUGUUUGAAAAGGGCCAAAGUAAGCGUAUAUGGGG